CCCUACUGCUAUCGGGGUGGGACUAAGACAUGCUAGUCGAGCGCCUUGAGCUAUGGCGAGGCGCGGCGUACAGCUCAGUAACACGUGGCUAACCUACCCUUAGGACGGAGACAACCCCGGGAAACUGGGGCUAAUAUCUGAUAGGUGAGGAGGCCUGGAAUGGUUCUUCGCUGAAAAGGCGUUGAAACCAUGCUUUUCAGCGUCGCCUAAGGAUGGGGCCGCGUCCGAUCAGGUUGUUGGUGGGGUAACGGCUCACCAAGCCUAUAACCGGUACGGGCCGUGAGAGCGGGAGCCCGGAGAUGGGCACUGAGACAAGGGCCCAGGCCCUACGGGGCGCAGCAGUCGCGAAAACUCCGCAAUGCGCGAAAGCGUGACGGGGCUACCCCGAGUGCCGUCCGCUGAGGAUGGCUUUUCCCCGGUGUAAUGAGCCGGGGGAAUAAGGAGAGGGCAAGUCUGGUGUCAGCCGCCGCGGUAAUACCAGCUCUCCGAGUGGUAGGGACGAUUAUUGGGCUUAAAGCGUCCGUAGCCGGCUUAGCAAGUUUUCUGUUAAAUUCAGCGACCUAAUCGUUGAGCCGCGGGAGAUACUACUAGGCUAGGAGGCGGGAGAGGCCGACGGUAUUCUCGGGGUAGGGGUGAAAUCUUAUAAUCCCGGGAGGACCACCAGUGGCGAAGGCUGUCGGCUAGCACGCGCCUGACGGUGAGGGACGAAAGCUGGGGGAGCGAACCGGAUUAGAUACCCGGGUAGUCCCUGCUGUAAACGAUGCGGGCUAGGUGUUGGGGCGGCUACGAGCCGCUUCAGUGCCGCAGCGAAGGCGUUAAGCUCGCCGCCUGGGGAGUACGGCCGCAAGGCUGAAACUUAAAGGAAUUGGCGGGGGAGCACCACAAGGCGUGAAGCUUGCGGUUU
RNAcentral lists this ribosomal RNA (904 nucleotides) under uncultured archaeon. RNAcentral's name for it is "bacterial SSU rRNA". It matches the Rfam family "Archaeal small subunit ribosomal RNA", at positions 21 to 903 of the family's 1478-position model. The record is from RNAcentral.